RNAcentral lists this ribosomal RNA (2891 nucleotides) under Arcobacter sp. FWKO B. RNAcentral describes it as "23S ribosomal RNA". It matches the Rfam family "Bacterial large subunit ribosomal RNA". Lineage: Bacteria; Pseudomonadati; Campylobacterota; Epsilonproteobacteria; Campylobacterales; Arcobacteraceae. The record is from RNAcentral.
UAAAAAAGCUAUAAAGGGCUAAUGGUGGAUGCCUUGAUUGAAAGAGGCGAUGAAGGACGUACUAGACUGCGAUAAGUCUUGGGGAGCUGUCAAGAGGCUUUGAUCCAGGAAUUUCCGAAUGGGGCAACCCAAUAUAUAGAGAUAUAUAUUACUCUAAUUUAGAGAGCGAACUUGGGGAAGUGAAACAUCUCAGUACCCAAAGGAAGAGAAAUCAAACGAGAUUCCCAAAGUAGCGGCGAGCGAAAUGGGAUUAGGGCGGCUAUAUUUAGCAUAAAUGUUAGUAGAAUUACCUGGAAAGGUAGAGCAUAGAAGGUGAUACUCCUGUAUAUUAAAACAUUUUUGUGGAACUAGGAUAGCGAACGAGUAGGUCGGGACACGAGAAAUCUUGACUGAAUAUGGGGGGACCACCCUCCAACCCUAAAUACUACUUUCAAAUCGAUAGUGCACAAGUACCGUGAGGGAAAGGUGAAAAGUACCCCAGUGAGGGGAGUGAAAUAGAACCUGAAACCAUUAGCCUACAAUCAUUCAGAGCCCUAUGGAGUAAUCCAGGGUGAUGGACUGCCUUUUGCAUAAUGAGCCUGCGAGUUGUGAUCAGUGGCAAGGUUAAGUCAAGUACGAAGCCGUAGCGAAAGCGAGUCUUAAUAGGGCGAAUUAGUCACUGGUUGCAGACCCGAAACUGAGUGAUCUAUCCAUGAGCAGGUUGAAGCUGGUGUAAAAGCUAGUGGAGGACCGAACCCGUAACCAUUGAAACGGUUUGGGAUGACUUGUGGAUAGGGGUGAAAGGCCAAUCAAACUCAGUGAUAGCUGGUUCUCUCCGAAAUAUAUUUAGGUAUAGCGUUGUGUUGUAGCAUAUAGGGGUAGAGCACUGAUUGGGCUAGGGCUGCUUACCGCGGUACCAAACCCUGUCAAACUCCGAAUACUAUAUGUGUAAUCACGGCAGUCAGGCGGUGGGUGAUAAAAUCAAUCGUCAAGAGGGGAACAACCCAGACUACCAGCUAAGGUCCCAAAGUCAUAUCUAAGUGGAAAACGAUGUGGAGUUACUGUGACAACCAGGAGGUUGGCUUAGAAGCAGCCAUCCUUUAAAGAAAGCGUAACAGCUCACUGGUCUAGUGAUUCUGCGCGGAAAAUAUAACGGGGCUAAGAUAUGCACCGAAGCUGUAGAUUUCAUAUUUAUAUGGAGUGGUAGGAGAGCGUUCUGUUCAGCGUUGAAGCCAUACCGGUGAGGAGUGGUGGAGCGUACAGAAGUGAGCAUGCAGGCAUGAGUAACGAUAAAAGUAGUGAGAAUCUACUUCGCCGUAAACCCAAGGUUUCCUACGCGAUGGUCGUCAUCGUAGGGUUAGUCGGGUCCUAAGCUGAGUCCGAAAGGGGUAGGCGAUGGCAAAUCGGUUAAUAUUCCGAUACUAACAAAUGAGCGCGAUGGGAGGACGCAUAGGGCUACGGGAGCUAACUGAUGGAAUAGUUAGUCGAAGGAUGUAGGUUGUAACGCAGGCAAAUCCGUGUUACGCUAGACCGAGAUCUGACAGGCCGAAUAAGACCUUCGGGUUGCAUUCGGAAUCCCCGAUGCCGUCGUGCCAAGAAAAGUCUCUAAGUUUAUCAUUUGUUACCCGUACCGUAAACCGACACAGGUGGGUGAGAUGAGUAUUCUAAGGCGCGUGGAAGAACCCCCUUUAAGGAACUCUGCAAACUAGCACCGUAUCUUCGGUAUAAGGUGUGCCUACUCAAGUUAGAAGACUUGCUCUUCAAAGCUAGAGAGGUUGCAACAAAGAGUCCCUCCCGACUGUUUACCAAAAACACAGCACUUUGCUAACUCGUAAGAGGAUGUAUAAGGUGUGACGCCUGCCCGGUGCUGGAAGGUUAAUUGAUGGUGUCAGAGCAAUCGAAGCACUUGAUCGAAGCCCCAGUAAACGGCGGCCGUAACUAUAACGGUCCUAAGGUAGCGAAAUUCCUUGUCGGUUAAAUACCGACCUGCAUGAAUGGCGUAACGAGAUGGGAGCUGUCUCAAAGGGGGAUCCAGUGAAAUUGUAGUGGAGGUGAAAAUUCCUCCUACCCGCGGAAAGACGGAAAGACCCCGUGCACCUUUACUAUAGCUUGACACUGUAGUUUGAAUAUUCAUGUGCAGGAUAGGUGGGAGGCUGUGAUGCUUAGACGCAAGUAGAAGCGGAGCCAUCCUUGAGAUACCACCCUUGAAUAUUUGGAUUACUAACUCGCAUCAGUUACCCUGAUGGAGGACAAUGUCUGGUGGGUAGUUUGACUGGGGCGGUCGCCUCCUAAAAAGUAACGGAGGCUUACAAAGGUUGGCUCAGAUGGGUUGGAAAUCCAUCGUUGAGUGUAAUGGCAUAAGCCAGCCUGACUGUGAGACAGACAAGUCGAACAGAGUCGAAAGACGGUCAUAGUGAUCCGGUGGUUCUGUGUGGAAGGGCCAUCGCUCAAAGGAUAAAAGGUACGCCGGGGAUAACAGGCUGAUCUCCCCCAAGAGCUCACAUCGACGGGGAGGUUUGGCACCUCGAUGUCGGCUCAUCGCAUCCUGGGGCUGGAGCAGGUCCCAAGGGUAUGGCUGUUCGCCAUUUAAAGCGGUACGCGAGCUGGGUUCAGAACGUCGUGAGACAGUUCGGUCCCUAUCUUCCGUGGGCGUAGGAAAGUUGAAGAGAUUUGUCCCUAGUACGAGAGGACCGGGAUGAACAUGCCACUGGUGUACCAGUUGUUCUGCCAAGAGCAUCGCUGGGUAGCUACGCAUGGAUGUGAUAAGAGCUGAAAGCAUCUAAGCUCGAAGCCAACUCUAAGAUGAACUUUCCCUGAAGAUCCCAGUAAGACUAACUGGUUGAUAGGCUAGAUGUGUAAUGGAUGAGAGUCCUUUAGCUGACUAGUACUAAUAGAUCGUUUGGCUUUUUUUA